UUGAAAACCAUACUCAACCAUCCUAUCAAUCAAAACCAAAGCUUCAGACACUCUACCCUUUAGACAAAGUCCAUUGAUCAGAGUGCUAACGGUUACAAGAUCCGGUCUUUGCUUCAUUUCCACCAUCCGAUCAACUAACGCAACCGCUUCAGAAACUCUACCCUCGAGGCAAAACCCGU
Molecule: small RNA, 179 nt
Filed under: Arabidopsis thaliana (thale cress)
Lineage: Eukaryota; Viridiplantae; Streptophyta; Magnoliopsida; Brassicales; Brassicaceae
Description: ATSL144950
Source: RNAcentral